UACAGAGGAGCCAAGCGUUGUCCGGAAUUAUUGGGCGUAAAGAGCUCGUAGGCGGUCUGUCGCGUCUGCUGUGAAAACUCGGGGCUUAACCCCGGGCCUGCAGUGGGUACGGGCAGACUAGAGUGCGGUAGGGGAGACUGGAAUUCCUGGUGUAGCGGUGAAAUGCGCAGAUAUCAGGAGGAACACCGGUGGCGAAGGCGGGUCUCUGGGCCGUAACUGACGCUGAGGAGCGAAAGCAUGGGGAGCGAACAGG
RNAcentral lists this ribosomal RNA (253 nucleotides) under uncultured bacterium. RNAcentral's name for it is "partial 16S ribosomal RNA". It matches the Rfam family "Bacterial small subunit ribosomal RNA", at positions 524 to 776 of the family's 1533-position model. The record is from RNAcentral.